CAGAAAGAGAGCAAGUGGCCUCAAGGUGUAGCCAACGGAGUCAUCCUGUCAGAAAGUCUGCUUCUAAGGCCAUUUUUAAGGACCUGCAGUAGCCCAGAAGAGGGUGUGUCUCAGCCUGGGGACAGGUGGGCGAUGCUGGCACCAAGGAACAGUUCUAUGACAGCCUUCCUGCCUCUCCACUGCUUUCCACCCCUUCCCCUGGGGUUGACGUUUCUGUCCACUCCACAUCAGUGCAAGAAACAACCUGGCUGCCUCCAGAGGGUGAGGAAGCUGCACCUGGAAGGCUUUUGCUGCCUUCCUAAAACAUGAGAAGAAAAAGAAGCAGGUUCCCACCUUGUAAGAGGAACAGUUUUCGGGUGGGAUGAAGACAAGAUGCCCAUGUUCUCUUCACCGCCAUUUGUGUUCUUGUCGAGUGGAUUCGAGUUCUGGAGUCUGAGAAGUCCAAGAUCAAGACACGAGCUGAUUUGGUGUGUGGUGAGAACUCUCUUCCUGGUCUGCCUUCUUGCUGUGUCUUCACAUGGCCUGUGCUUCUCACUGCAAGAAAACUCUGGUCCCAGAGCUCUGAGGGUGCUGUGGCUAAAAGCACUUGAUUCUGAUGCUUCAGAUGGAUGCUGGCGAAAGCCUCUUCCUGUGGUGGUGGAUGAUGGAAAGUUGGGUUCCAGGUAUUUCCAGGCCUGAGGUCCCCAAACCCUCUGAGGGGUGAGGCCAGGAAAAAGAUGCCUGGAGCGCGUGGAGGUGUAGCUCAGAGGCAGAUUUGAAUAAAUUCAGGAAGUGAUUUAAGACAUAAUAUGUCUCCUGGAAUCUGAUCUAUAGCAGCCAUUGAGUACAUGCCUGGAGAUCAGGACUGUCUGGGAAAACUCAGUUUUUUCUUUUCCCCCUCACCAGUAUAUUGAUUUGAGUUCACAUACUGAAAGAGGAUGACACAGGAUGAUAGUGUCAGAACUGGCCUGACGGCUCUGAACUGGACAAGGUGGAGGUGAUGUCCACCGAUGAAAUCUUUGCUUGGCAAUGUAGGGCAUGCAAAACAAUUACACCAGAGACUUUGGGAGUUUCAAGACAACUGAAUGUACGAUAAGAAAGGGGAUAUCUUGGAGAAGAUAGACUGUCUAUCUCUAUUGGGAUUCUUCUGUAAGGCACAUUAUUGACUUCAAGGCAAGAGGCCAUGAAAGUGUGACUUUCCUUAAGACAGUAAACUCUCUGUUUUCUCAAGUGAAUGGAAAAAAAGGGGUGCAUUGGUUCCCUAUAUCAGUUUCCAGAAAUGAGUAUAUUGUACAAUGUAGUUCAUCUACAAUGCUUCCAAAUAUAAUUUAUUGUUACUCAGAUGAUUCAGAAGACCUGGUAUGUCAUCAAGAUAAACAGCAAAUAUUUUGUGCUGCAGCUGCAUUGAGAAGGCAUUAUCCAGUGACUUCUAGCAAUGAGUCAGGAAAAUAAAAAAUAAGUGCCUUUCUCUGUUACAACAUAUUCUAAACCAAUCAUUCAAUCAAUUGGAAUUUAUAGUUUAUCUACAACUGUUGAGGGAUUAUAUAGGUAUGUGGAGCAUAUAAAGAAAAUGUAUGCAAUGGUCUCACUGGUUUCAAAGAAAAUUACAUCUACAAAAGUUCUUGUCAGAGUUUAAGACUAGAACUUAGUAUUUGGGGUUUGUGAUGGGUUUGCUAGCUCUGCCCCUACUGUCUACUUUACCUGACUUCUAACAUGCCUUCUUGCAUUGUAGUGGCUGGUGAACCAAAUACCACAUUUCCCAGACUACCCUACCCUCAGGGCUCUGAAUGUGAUUUACGUCCUGCCAUUAAGUUGCACUAGUGCAAUGUUUGGAAGGUAAAACGAGGCAGAGGCCAUGCUUUUGCUGCUUCUGUUUUUUCUUUUAAAAGUUUAGUCAUGGAGGUAUUUGAAUUUUCUGUAGCAGCAUUAGCAGAAGUUUGUGGGUGUUAAGAGGUGGUCACAGAAAGCUCAUUUUGCAAGUGAGGACUAAGGCAUGUCUGGUUUCACAUGGCACCACCUUCCUCUCCUUGAGGCCCACCCCACUGCGGUGGCUUCUGGACUUUGGCAGUCAUAUUGUUUAGGAGAUGGCAGUUUCCUCAUCUGGGGAGAACAAAGAUCCCUUGGUGAUCCAGGUCUUCAUGUAGUUUUGGGAGUCAUUUCUGAAAUGUCAACCUAAAUUUGGACUCUUCUAAAGAUUCAGUGAGCUUUUCAAUGCCCUAUAAUAAUUUUUUUUUUCAUUCUUCAACUUGCUAGAAUGGCUUAUGUUCUCUGGAACUAAAUCUAUCUAUGCCUAUAAUUGGUACUAGGAGAGUUAUAGGCAACAGACUCUUAAAAAAUUGGAAAUUUGGAUUCAUUUUUCCUGACUAUUGGGUUUGAAAGUAGCAAUGAUUAUGGAAUAUGGAAUUAAAAUAUGGAAUAUGAAAUAUUAGAAUAUGGAAUAUUGGCAGUAUAUGACAUGGAGUGGUGCAAUAGUGACUUAAAAUAUUGAUUACUUAGAGUGAAGAGCUCAGUGAAGGCAAAGAUUUUGGUAGAGUGCCUGCUGACCAUCAUGGUGAGAAUAAGGAAUACAAGGUCUGUGGAGUUGGGUGGCUGUUUUACCUACGUUGGAGAACUUCAAGAAAGAAAAUGAUAUGCUCAGAAUUUUAAAGUUAUUGGCAUGAGGCAUGAUCAGAGGACCAAGGAGCUUCUAUGACUUUCUAGAAGAACCAUUUAUUUCAUGUAGUUGCAAGGCUUAUGCAUUCUAAUAUCAAAUACCAUUUGAUUCUGUGGGUUGAUGAUUAAAAGAUAAUCUAAACUCA
Molecule: RNA transcript, 2777 nt
Organism: Canis lupus familiaris (dog)
Lineage: Eukaryota; Metazoa; Chordata; Mammalia; Carnivora; Canidae
Exons: 9
Source: RefSeq, a predicted model, not a curated record